GCUGGCGGCAGGCUUAACACAUGCAAGUCGAGCGGUAGCAGAUCUAGCUUGCUAGAUGCUGACGAGCGGCGGACGGGUGAGUAACGCGUAGGAACCUGCCCAGUAGUGGGGGAUAGCCCGGGGAAACUCGGAUUAAUACCGCAUACGCUCUACGGAGGAAAGGGGGGGGCUUCGGCUCUCGCUAUUGGAUGGGCCUGCGUGAGAUUAGCUAGUUGGUGAGGUAAUGGCUCACCAAGGCGACGAUCUCUAGCUGGUCUGAGAGGAUGAUCAGCCACACUGGGACUGAGACGCGGCCCAGACUCCUACGGGAGGCAGCAGUGGGGAAUAUUGCACAAUGGGCGCAAGCCUGAUGCAGCCAUGCCGCGUGUGUGAAGAAGGCUUUCGGGUUGUAAAGCACUUUCAGUGGGGAGGAAGGCCUCGUAGUUAAUAGCUGCGAGGAUUGACGUUACCCACAGAAGAAGCACCGGCUAACUCCGUG
Molecule: ribosomal RNA, 478 nt
Filed under: uncultured bacterium
Lineage: Bacteria
Description: bacterial SSU rRNA
Rfam family: Bacterial small subunit ribosomal RNA
Source: RNAcentral